This 31-nucleotide non-coding RNA is filed under the name Mus musculus (house mouse). Lineage: Eukaryota; Metazoa; Chordata; Mammalia; Rodentia; Muridae. The record is from RNAcentral.
UAGGCAUUUGAAAUGGCUAUCUGAUGCCUGA